Lolium perenne is the source of this 169-nucleotide non-coding RNA. NCBI's taxonomy places the organism in Eukaryota, Viridiplantae, Streptophyta, Magnoliopsida, Poales, Poaceae. The record is from RefSeq and is a predicted model, not a curated record.
AGGCCCUGAAGUUCAAAGAGUUACCAGAUUACACAAAGGUUAUCUACAGGCCAAGCAAGCAAAUUGAUGGUAUACCUGGAUGUAGCUCCUUCAAGAUUGCAUCAAAGGGAUAUACCAAGCAAUAAUAUGAAGAAAUUAAGCAUAUUACCAAAAUCAUUGGCGCUAACCU